This 406-nucleotide ribosomal RNA is filed under the name uncultured bacterium. RNAcentral's name for it is "partial 16S ribosomal RNA". It matches the Rfam family "Bacterial small subunit ribosomal RNA", at positions 30 to 526 of the family's 1533-position model. The record is from RNAcentral.
AUUGAACGCUGGCGGCAUGCUUUACACAUGCAAGUCGGACGAGUGGCGAACGGGUGAGUAAUAUAUCGGAACGUACCGAGUAAUGGGGGAUAACUAAUCGAAAGAUUAGCUAAUACCGCAUAUUAUUCGAGCGGCCGAUAUCUGAUUAGCUAGUUGGUGGGGUACAGGCCUACCAAGGCAACGAUCAGUAGCGGGUCUGAGAGGAUGAUGCGCCAGACCGGGACCGGGACACGGCCCAGUAUCCUACGGGAGGCAGCCGGGGGGAAUUUUGGACAAUGGGCGCUGGCCUGAUCCAUCCAUGCCGCGUGUCUGAAGAAGGCCUUCGGGUUGUAAAGGACUUUUGUCAGGUAAGCGGUACCUGAAGAAUAAGCACCGGCUAACUACGUGCCAGCCGCCGCGGUAAUUC